Small nucleolar RNA from Sardina pilchardus (European sardine), 85 nucleotides. RefSeq annotates it as small nucleolar RNA SNORD79. The transcript has a single exon. Lineage: Eukaryota; Metazoa; Chordata; Actinopteri; Clupeiformes; Clupeidae. The record is from RefSeq and is a predicted model, not a curated record.
UGUGUUAUGAUGAUUUUUUUUGUUUAAAAAAACAAUGGGAAUCUCUCUGAAUAGUAGUGAAGGAGAAUCUUUUUCUGAACUGACA